RNAcentral lists this ribosomal RNA (253 nucleotides) under uncultured bacterium. Its description in RNAcentral is "partial 16S ribosomal RNA". It matches the Rfam family "Bacterial small subunit ribosomal RNA", at positions 524 to 776 of the family's 1533-position model. The record is from RNAcentral.
UACGAAGGGGGCUAGCGUUGCUCGGAAUCACUGGGCGUAAAGGGUGCGUAGGCGGGUCUUUAAGUCCGGGGUGAAAUCCUGGAGCUCAACUCCAGAACUGCCUUUGAUACUGAAGAUCUUGAGUUCGGGAGAGGUGAGUGGAACUGCGAGUGUAGAGGUGAAAUUCGUAGAUAUUCGCAAGAACACCAGUGGCGAAGGCGGCUCACUGGCCCGAUACUGACGCUGAGGAGCGAAAGCGUGGGGAGCGAACAGG